AAUUCUGCAGAAAGAUAAUCACUCCAUUAGGCAUUGGACUAUUAAAAGCUAUUACAUUUAGUGAUUGCUCUAUGCUUUACAGUCACAGAAUACAUGAUUGAUGAAAUUUUGAUGUCUAGGUUUAGCAGCCAUUGACCAAAUUGUGAAAAAAACAUCAUCCAAAAUGUUCCCUUCACUACUUUUUUCCUACAGUUUCUGCUAAGUCCUCCAAAAGAUGGUAACAGAUAGUUCCUUGUAUAUGUUAUUGCUACACAUUCUGCAAGAGCCUAAUUUAGCUUACCUGAUACCAGAUGGAGAUUGCAAAUACGAUAAUGAAGAGAAUGAGUACUGGCCAGGCCACUUGAGUCAUGAGCAUGAUGAUGCAAAGAAGCUGAACAAGUGCAAAUAUCAACCCAGCCAGUCUGUAUGGAAUAUCUGUGUCAACAGUGCUUUGGUCUGUUGAGGACUGAAAAAGGAUUCUGAACGUCGCUAGAGCUGAGAGGACUGUGCCAGCAGUCAGGGGUGUAUUCACCAAAAUGCAGACACCGAAGGCAAUGACCAAAACCAAAGUUGGAGACGCCCAGAACAGGAAGGCAAUAGCAGAGCAUGUGUAGAGAUAUCUCCUGAGCCAACUCCUCUCCACAUCUCUAAGUUGGAGGAGCUUGUUCAAAGUGGAGCCUCUCCUGUAGAUUUGCCAGUGGUGUGUUACUCACCAUCACUAGGAUUGUCACAGCUAGUGCCGAGAAUGAGGCUGCUGCACCAAGAUUUCUGUAAAGAAUAAGUAGAGCCAAAGAGACCUGGACGGGGA
Molecule: long non-coding RNA, 787 nt
Organism: Musa acuminata AAA Group (dessert banana)
Lineage: Eukaryota; Viridiplantae; Streptophyta; Magnoliopsida; Zingiberales; Musaceae
Exons: 3
Source: RefSeq, a predicted model, not a curated record